Molecule: ribosomal RNA, 464 nt
Filed under: uncultured Gammaproteobacteria bacterium
Lineage: Bacteria; Pseudomonadati; Pseudomonadota; Gammaproteobacteria
Description: bacterial SSU rRNA
Rfam family: Bacterial small subunit ribosomal RNA
Source: RNAcentral
GAGUUUGAUCCUGGCUCAGAUUGAACGCUGGCGGCAGGCCUAACACAUGCAAGUCGAGCGGAUGAGUGGAGCUUGCUCCAUGAUUCAGCGGCGGACGGGUGAGUAAUGCCUAGGAAUCUGCCUGGGUAGUGGGGGACAAACGUUUCGAAAGGAACGCUAAUACCGCAUACGUCCUACGGGAGAAAGCAGGGGACCUUCGGGCCUUGCGCUAUCAGAUGAGCCUAGGUCGGAUUAGCUAGUAGGUGGGGUAAUGGCCCACCUAGGCGACGAUCCGUAACUGGUCUGAGAGGAUGAUCAGUCACACUGGAACUGAGACACGGUCCAGACUCCUACGGGAGGCAGCAGUGGGGAAUAUUGGACAAUGGGCGAAAGCCUGAUCCAGCCAUGCCGCGUGUGUGAAGAAGGUCUUCGGAUUGUAAAGCACUUUAAGUUGGGAGGAAGGGCAGUAAGUUAAUACCUUGCUG